Long non-coding RNA from Oncorhynchus gorbuscha (pink salmon), 831 nucleotides. RefSeq lists it as uncharacterized. The record is from RefSeq and is a predicted model, not a curated record. The transcript has 3 exons. NCBI's taxonomy places the organism in Eukaryota, Metazoa, Chordata, Actinopteri, Salmoniformes, Salmonidae.
UGCCGCCUGCAGUCAAAGACUGUUUGAAAUCUCCAAAUUCUAUCUGAAGGAUCUGAAGACGUCCAGGGGCCUUCAUGAGGAAAUGAUGAAAGCAGCCAGCAGCAAUGCCAAGCAGGUCAUCGACUGGGUUACGGAGCGGGCCUCUAAGUGACGAGGGAACGAUCACUAGUGGUUUUAGACUGGUUUUAUAGUCACGGCAAACCGCAAACAUCAGUGGAAUGUAGUUUCACCACAGGAGACAUCAGUACAGUCUGUCAGGGUGUGAACGUGUGAUUAGCAGGUUUGUUUGUGUCUUAAGAACCUCAGUGACUGUCAGUUGCCAGGCAACCAUUCAUUGUAAUUCCAUUGUUUGUUUGUGUCUUAAGAACCUCGGUGACUAUCAGUUGCCAGGCAACCAUUCAUUGUAAUUCCAUUGUUUGUUUGUGUUUUAAGAACCUCAGUGACUAUCAGUUGCCAGGCAACCAUUCAUUGUAAUUACAUUGUUUGUUUGUGUCUUAAGAACCUCAGUGACUGUCAGUUGCCAGGCAACCAUUCAUUGUAAUUACAUUGUUUGUUUGUGUCUUAAGAACCUCAGUGACUGUCAGUUGCCAGGCAACCAUUCAUUGUAAUUACAUUGUUUGUUUGUGUCUUAAGAACCUCAGUGACUGUCAGUUGCCAGGCAACCAUUCAUUGUAAUUACAUUGUUUGUUUGUGUCUUAAGAACCUCAGUGACUAUCAGUUGCCAGGCAACCAUUCAUUGUAAUUACAUUGUUUGUUUGUGUCUUAAGAACCUCAGUGACUGUCAGUUGCCAGGCAGCCAUUCAUUGUAAUUCCAUUGUUUGUUUUAAUGAG